Long non-coding RNA from Gallus gallus (chicken), 694 nucleotides. The record is from Ensembl. Lineage: Eukaryota; Metazoa; Chordata; Aves; Galliformes; Phasianidae.
CAAAUGUAGAAGCCAAUUAAGCUCGAAAGCUUCUGUGUGUUUUUCUGGGGGGUCCAGGAUUCACUAGGGCAAAACUGGAAACUUGCAAGAAUAUCUGCAUUUAGCCAGGAGGAGCUUCCUAUGAAAAGCUGUUACUGCUUCAAAACCUGUAAGCACAACUGCUAGGAACGUGGGGAACUACUCCUGAAGGUUGAAAGAUGCUCAGCUAUGGCACUGCAGAGUGCUGCAGAGGCUUCUGGAAUAAUGUAAGGGAAUCAGAUGAAUGCCUAACUAAUCCUCUUCUUUGGAAAGGCUCGCAGAAGAAUGAGGCAAUGAAAAGAGGAUGUAAAAGAAUAUAAAAGCAGAUGCAACGAAUGUCUUUAAAGCAGCAACAUGGGUGGAUGGAAGCCAAAGGAAUGAGAAAUAGAAGGGAGAUGGAAACAGCUGUGAUUGGUUAAACUACAAAUUUCUGAGCUGGCUGAAGAGAGGAUGCUAUAGCCUUUAUAUUGGGUUUCAUGCUGUUUAAGUAAGAAAGUAAUCAGAUUGUAAGGUGGAGAUCGAGUGCAUGAAUAUGUUGAUGAAAAAAAAAAAGAAAAAAAAGAUUUGUCCUGGACAUAGAUGGCAUUUGAUUCUUGCUGAUCUUAUUGUAGGGCAAUACACCUCAUAAAGUGCCAAUACUUUAGGACAAGAAUGUGCUACACCUACCUUAUGCUGU